Molecule: long non-coding RNA, 495 nt
Organism: Drosophila miranda
Lineage: Eukaryota; Metazoa; Arthropoda; Insecta; Diptera; Drosophilidae
Exons: 2
Source: RefSeq, a predicted model, not a curated record
AAACAUCUCAAAUACGAUAAUUAUUUGUCUCGCCUUGAACAGAGUAACAGCUCGAUUAAAAGAAGCUGACACUUUGGACUGACUGCAACAAAUUGAGUAAUCUCAGGCAUCUCAGCAUCUUUCGGCAGAAGAAGCGGGAAAACCAACUCAGAAGCAGAAAGCUGUGCCAAAAACCCAAAUCGGAAGCGCUUCGUCGAUGGAGGUUCCUGUAAGACGUUUUUUUAGUUAAAUAAAUAAAUUAUCUUCCACCUUUUUGCGUGGCGAUUUCUCUGCAAGUUUGUCAUGGGCGCACACCCAAUUGGUGAGAUGAAGAGAGAGGGUAUCAAAUAGUCAUAGGUGAUUGCUCUCCUCUUGAUUCUUUUCCCUACAUGUCUCGUGCAUCACACCUUCUCUUUUGGUGAAUCGCUAUGCACAGCGGAUGCUCAUAUUAAAUUUUCUUGUAUUUUUUUUUUGCUUUCAUUUUAUUAAAAUCAUCUGUUCUUAGACAUAUCUAAA